UGGAGAAUAUUGCACAAUGGAGGGAACUCUGAUGCAGCGACGCCGCGUGAACGAAGAAGGCUUUCGAGUCGUAAAGUUCUUUUAUAUGGGAAGAUAAUGACGGUACCAUAAGAAAAAGCCCCGGCUAACUACGUGCCAGCAGCCGCGGUAAUACGUAGGGGGCUAGCGUUGUCCGGAAUCACUGGGCGUAAAGGGUUCGCAGGCGGAAAUGCAAGUCAGGUGUAAAAGGCAGUAGCUUAACUACUGUAAGCAUUUGAAACUGCAUAUCUUGAGAAGAGUAGAGGUAAGUGGAAUUUUUAGUGUAGCGGUGAAAUGCGUAGAUAUUAAAAAGAAUACCGGUGGCGAAGGCGACUUACUGGGCUCAUUCUGACGCUGAGGAACGAAAGCGUGGGUAGCAAACAGG
Molecule: ribosomal RNA, 403 nt
Filed under: bacterium
Lineage: Bacteria
Description: partial 16S ribosomal RNA
Rfam family: Bacterial small subunit ribosomal RNA
Source: RNAcentral